GACGAACGCUGGCGGCGUGCUUAAUACAUGCAAGUCGAACGGAAAGGCCCUGCUUUUGUGGGGUGCUCGAGUGGCGAACGGGUGAGUAACACGUGAGUAACCUGCCCUUGACUUUGGGAUAACCUCAGGAAACUGGGGCUAAUACCGGAUAGGAGCUCCUGCUGCAUGGUGGGGGUUGGAAAGUUUCGGCGGUUGGGGAUGGACUCGCGGCUUAUCAGCUUGUUGGUGGGGUAGUGGCUUACCAAGGCUUUGACGGGUAGCCGGCCUGAGAGGGUGACCGGCCACAUUGGGACUGAGAUACGGCCCAGACUCCUACGGGAGGCAGCAGUGGGGAAUAUUGCACAAUGGGCGGAAGCCUGAUGCAGCAACGCCGCGUGCGGGAUGACGGCCUUCGGGUUGUAAACCGCUUUCGCCUGUGACGAAGCGUGAGUGACGGUAAUGGGUAAAGAAGCACCGGCUAACUACGUGCCAGCAGCCGCGGUGAUACGUAGGGUGCGAGCGUUGUCCGGAUUUAUUGGGCGUAAAGGGCUCGUAGGUGGUUGAUCGCGUCGGAAGUGUAAUCUUGGGGCUUAACCCUGAGCGUGCUUUCGAUACGGGUUGACUUGAGGAAGGUAGGGGAGAAUGGAAUUCCUGGUGGAGCGGUGGAAUGCGCAGAUAUCAGGAGGAACACCAGUGGCGAAGGCGGUUCUCUGGGCCUUUCCUGACGCUGAGGAGCGAAAGCGUGGGGAGCGAACAGGCUUAGAUACCCUGGUAGUCCACGCUGUAAACGGUGGGUACUAGGUGUGGGGUCCAUUCCACGGGUUCCGUGCCGUAGCUAACGCUUUAAGUACCCCGCCUGGGGAGUACGGCCGCAAGGCUAAAACUCAAAGGAAUUGACGGGGCCCCGCACAAGCGGCGGAGCAUGCGGAUUAAUUCGAUGCAACGCGUAGAACCUUACCUGGGUUUGACAUGGAUCGGGAGUGCUCAGAGAUGGGUGUGCCUCUUUUGGGGUCGGUUCACAGGUGGUGCAUGGCCGUCGUCAGCUCGUGUCGUGAGAUGUUGGGUUAAGUCCCGCAACGAGCGCAACCCUUGUUCACUGUUGCCAGCACGUUAUGGUGGGGACUCAGUGGAGACCGCCGGGGUCAACUCGGAGGAAGGUGGGGAUGGCGUCAAGUCAUCAUGCCCCUUAUGUCCAGGGCUUCACGCAUGCUACAAUGGCUGGUACAGAGAGUGGCGAGCCUGUGAGGGUGAGCGAAUCUCGGAAAGUCGGUCUCAGUUCGGAUUGGGGUCUGCAACUCGACCUCAUGAAGUCGGAGUCGCUAGUAAUCGCAGAUCAGCAACGCUGCGGUGAAUACGUUCCCGGGGCU
RNAcentral lists this ribosomal RNA (1346 nucleotides) under uncultured bacterium. Its description in RNAcentral is "partial 16S ribosomal RNA". It matches the Rfam family "Bacterial small subunit ribosomal RNA", at positions 28 to 1381 of the family's 1533-position model. The record is from RNAcentral.